This 496-nucleotide ribosomal RNA is filed under the name uncultured bacterium. RNAcentral describes it as "partial 16S ribosomal RNA". It matches the Rfam family "Bacterial small subunit ribosomal RNA", at positions 28 to 506 of the family's 1533-position model. The record is from RNAcentral.
GAUGAACGCUGGCGGCGUGCCUAAUACAUGCAAGUCGAGCGAACAGACGAGGAGCUUGCUCCUCUAACGUUAGCGGCGGACGGGUGAGUAACACGUGGAUAACCUACCUAUAAGACUGGGAUAACUUCGGGAAACCGGAGCUAAUACCGGAUAAUAUAUUGAACCGCAUGGUUCAAUAGUGAAAGACGGUUUUGCUGUCACUUAUAGAUGGAUCCGCGCCGCAUUAGCUAGUUGGUAAGGUAACAGCUUACCAAGGCAACGAUGCGUAGCCGACCUGAGAGGGUGAUCGGCCACACUGGAACUGAGACACGGUCCAGACUCCUACGGGAGGCAGCAGUAGGGAAUCUUCCGCAAUGGGCGAAAGCCUGACGGAGCAACGCAGCGUGAGUGAUGAAGGUCUUCGGAUCGUAAAACGCUGUUAUUAGGGAAGAACAAAUGUGUAAGUAACGAUGCACGUCUUGACGGUACCUAAUCAGAAAGCCACGGCUAACUACGU